CCUACGGGAGGCAGCAGUGGGGAAUUUUGGACAAUGGGCGAAAGCCUGAUCCAGCCAUUCCGCGUGCAGGAUGAAGGCCCUCGGGUUGUAAACUGCUUUUGUACAGAACGAAAAGGUUUCUACUAAUACUAGGAGCUCAUGACGGUACUGUAAGAAUAAGCACCGGCUAACUACGUGCCAGCAGCCGCGGUAAUACGUAGGGUGCAAGCGUUAAUCGGAAUUACUGGGCGUAAAGCGUGCGCAGGCGGUUAUAUAAGUCAGAUGUGAAAUCCCCGGGCUCAACCUGGGAACUGCAUUUGAGACUGUAUAGCUAGAGUACGGUAGAGGGGGAUGGAAUUCCGCGUGUAGCAGUGAAAUGCGUAGAUAUGCGGAGGAACACCGAUGGCGAAGGCAAUCCCCUGGACCUGUACUGACGCUCAUGCACGAAAGCGUGGGGAGCAAACAGGAUUAGAUACCCUGGUAGUCCACGCCCUAAACGAUGUCAACUGGUUGUUGGGUCUUAACUGACUCAGUAACGAAGCUAACGCGUGAAGUUGACCGCCUGGGGAGUACGGCCGCAAGGUUGAAACUCAAAUGAAAUUGACGGCUGAGACGNGCGACGACGACGACGAGGGAGGAGG
RNAcentral lists this ribosomal RNA (620 nucleotides) under uncultured bacterium. RNAcentral's name for it is "bacterial SSU rRNA". It matches the Rfam family "Bacterial small subunit ribosomal RNA", at positions 338 to 951 of the family's 1533-position model. The record is from RNAcentral.